UACGAAGGGGGCUAGCGUUGUUCGGAAUUACUGGGCGUAAAGGGCGCGUAGGCGGCCUGUUGCGUCGGGUGUGAAAGCCCCGGGCUCAACCUGGGAGGUGCACUCGAUACGGGCGGGCUGGAAUCCGGGAGAGGAUGGUGGAAUUCCCAGUGUAGAGGUGAAAUUCGUAGAUAUUGGGAAGAACACCGGUGGCGAAGGCGGCCAUCUGGCCCGGAAUUGACGCUGAGGCGCGAAAGCGUGGGGAGCAAACAGG
This 253-nucleotide ribosomal RNA is filed under the name uncultured bacterium. Its description in RNAcentral is "partial 16S ribosomal RNA". It matches the Rfam family "Bacterial small subunit ribosomal RNA", at positions 524 to 776 of the family's 1533-position model. The record is from RNAcentral.